RNAcentral lists this ribosomal RNA (253 nucleotides) under uncultured bacterium. RNAcentral describes it as "partial 16S ribosomal RNA". It matches the Rfam family "Bacterial small subunit ribosomal RNA", at positions 524 to 776 of the family's 1533-position model. The record is from RNAcentral.
UACGUAGGUGACAAGCGUUGUCCGGAUUUACUGGGCGUAAAGAGCGCGCAGGCGGUCAGAUAAGUCGAAUGUGAAAGCCCCCGGCUCAACUGGGGAGGGUCAUUCGAUACUGUUCGACUCGAAGGCAGGAGAGGGAAGCGGAAUUCCCGGUCUAGUGGUGAAAUGCGUAGAUAUCGGGAGGAACACCAGUGGCGAAGGCGGCUUCCUGGCCUGUUCUUGACGCUGAGGCGCGAAAGCUAGGGGAGCAAACGGG